AACGCACCUUGCACUCCUUGGUAUUCCGAGGAGUAUGCCUGUUUGAGUGUCAUUAAAUUCUCAAACCUCUAUUGGCUUUAUUGACAAUAGAGGCUUUGGAUGUGGGGGUUGCUGGCUUAGCAAAGUCAGCUCUCCUUAAAUGCAUUAGUGGUUACUGUUCUCCACUUCUUUGGUGUGAUAAUUAUCUACGCCUCAGGUGGUGAUGUUAAGUGUAACUGCUUUCUAACCGUCCAAUCUAUUUGGACAACUUGAACCAUUUGACCUCAAAUCAGGUAGGACUACCCGCUGAACUUAA
This 295-nucleotide unclassified non-coding RNA is filed under the name uncultured Mycena. RNAcentral describes it as "sequence contains ITS2". The stretch from base 1 to 52 matches the Rfam family "5.8S ribosomal RNA", at positions 103 to 154 of the family's 154-position model. The record is from RNAcentral. Lineage: Eukaryota; Fungi; Basidiomycota; Agaricomycetes; Agaricales; Tricholomataceae.